CACUCCUGCGGGAGGCAGCAGUGGGGAAUUUUGGACCAUGGGCGAAAGCCUGAUCCAGCCAUGCCGCGUGCAGGAUGAAGGCCUUCGGGUUGUAAACUGCUUUUGUACGGAACGAAACGGCCUUUUCUAAUAAAGAGGGCUAAUGACGGUACCGUAAGAAUAAGCACCGGCUAACUACGUGCCAGCAGCCGCGGUAAUACGUAGGGUGCAAGCGUUAAUCGGAAUUACUGGGCGUAAAGCGUGCGCAGGCGGUUAUGUAAGACAGUUGUGAAAUCCCCGGGCUCAACCUGGGAACUGCAUCUGUGACUGCAUAGCUAGAGUACGGUAGAGGGGGAUGGAAUUCCGCGUGUAGCAGUGAAAUGCGUAGAUAUGCGGAGGAACACCGAUGGCGAAGGCAAUCCCCUGGACCUGUACUGACGCUCAUGCACGAAAGCGUGGGGAGCAAACAGGAUUAGAUACCCCAGUAGUCCCAUG
RNAcentral lists this ribosomal RNA (474 nucleotides) under uncultured organism. Its description in RNAcentral is "partial 16S ribosomal RNA". It matches the Rfam family "Bacterial small subunit ribosomal RNA", at positions 334 to 799 of the family's 1533-position model. The record is from RNAcentral.